AGCAACAUAGCUCAGGUGGUAGAGCGCGGGGCUCAUAACCCCGAGGUCACUCGAUCGAGACGAGUUGUUGCUA
Molecule: transfer RNA, 73 nt
Organism: Coprinopsis cinerea okayama7#130
Lineage: Eukaryota; Fungi; Basidiomycota; Agaricomycetes; Agaricales; Psathyrellaceae
Rfam family: tRNA
About the family: Transfer RNA (tRNA) molecules are approximately 80 nucleotides in length. Their secondary structure includes four short double-helical elements and three loops (D, anti-codon, and T loops).
Source: Rfam